AAGAAGAAAGAGAAGAACCAUUACAACCAACAGCCAGUGCGGUAAAUAGCCCCCUUUUGUUUCACCACAUAUAUGAACAUGUAUUUCUCGCUGUUCAUAUGACAAUGUGAAAUAAAUAGCACACCUGGUCUCUGGCUUCGAAAAAGAUGACUUUCUGAUGUACUGCCAUGGACUAAAGAAAGUUUCCCCUUCGGCGUUUUGGAUCUUUAUUGUUGCUUGGUUGUCAUGGAGAACAUAGGUUUGGCAGUUUU
This 251-nucleotide unclassified non-coding RNA is filed under the name Hevea brasiliensis (rubber tree). Lineage: Eukaryota; Viridiplantae; Streptophyta; Magnoliopsida; Malpighiales; Euphorbiaceae. The record is from RNAcentral.